Long non-coding RNA from Rhineura floridana, 265 nucleotides. RefSeq lists it as uncharacterized. The record is from RefSeq and is a predicted model, not a curated record. Lineage: Eukaryota; Metazoa; Chordata; Lepidosauria; Squamata; Rhineuridae. The transcript is spliced from 3 exons.
CAGAAGUGUUGUAUGGUGCUUUGGUCAAAUAUUGUUUACAGGCCUUUUUUUCCUCUGCUUUGGAAUUUGGCAGAGUUAAGAAAUUAAUGGCUCCACAGGGCCUAUGCCAUCUCCUGAUGAAACAGAAGACUGAAGGGGCGCUUGAUGCACACAGCCAUAGCACAGGGGAGCAGUCAAGCAAGCUUCAUCUAGAUGGGGCCAGGCCUUCACAAAGUGACAUACAGAGAGAAAUAAAAAAGCAACAGAACCUCAACCAGAGUGGGAA